GGGGGGUUCAUUUCCCGGACAGGGAGCCA
RNAcentral lists this unclassified non-coding RNA (29 nucleotides) under Dictyostelium discoideum. Lineage: Eukaryota; Evosea; Eumycetozoa; Dictyosteliales; Dictyosteliaceae. The record is from RNAcentral.